Molecule: ribosomal RNA, 1286 nt
Filed under: human oral metagenome
Description: bacterial LSU rRNA
Rfam family: Bacterial large subunit ribosomal RNA
Source: RNAcentral
GCCCGUACCGUAAACCGACACAGGUGGGUGGGAUGAGUAUUCUAAGGCGCGUGGAAGAACUCUCUUUAAGGAACUCUGCAAAAUAGCACCGUAUCUUCGGUAUAAGGUGUGCCUAGCUUCGUUAAGAAUUUACUUCGUAAGCGAAGAAGGUUACAACAAAGAGUCCCUCCCGACUGUUUACCAUAAACACAGCACUCUGCUAACUCGUAAGAGGAUGUAUAGGGUGUGACGCCUGCCCGGUGCUCGAAGGUUAAUUGAUGAUGUUAGCUUACGCAAAGCAUCUGAUCGAAGCCCGAGUAAACGGCGGCCGUAACUAUAACGGUCCUAAGGUAGCGAAAUUCCUUGUCGAUUAAAUAUCGACCUGCAUGAAUGGCGUAACGAGAUGGGAGCUGUCUCGAAGAGGGAUCCAGUGAAAUUGUAGUGGAGGUGAAAAUUCCUCCUACCCGCGGCAAGACGGAAAGACCCCGUGGACCUUUACUACAGCUUGACACUGCUAUUGGGAUAAAAAUGUGCAGGAUAGGUGGGAGGCUUUGAUCCAUAGACGCCAGUUUAUGGUGAGCCAUUGUUGAGAUACCACUCUUUUUUAUUCUGAUAGCUAACUAGCUUGAGUUAUCCUCAAGUAGGACAAUGUCUGGUGGGUAGUUUGACUGGGGCGGUCGCCUCCCAAAAUGUAACGGAGGCUUACAAAGGUUGGCUCAGAACGGUUGGAAAUCGUUCGCAGAGUAUAAAGGCAAAAGCCAGCUUAACUGCGAGACAUACACGUCGAGCAGAGACGAAAGUCGGUCUUAGUGAUCCGGUGGUUCUGUGUGGAAGGGCCAUCGCUCAAAGGAUAAAAGGUACCCCGGGGAUAACAGGCUGAUCUCCCCCAAGAGCUCACAUCGACGGGGAGGUUUGGCACCUCGAUGUCGGCUCAUCGCAUCCUGGGGCUGGAGCAGGUCCCAAGGGUAUGGCUGUUCGCCAUUUAAAGCGGUACGCGAGCUGGGUUCAGAACGUCGUGAGACAGUUCGGUCCCUAUCUGCCGUGGGCGUAAGAAGAUUGAGGAGAGUUGACCCUAGUACGAGAGGACCGGGUUGAACCGACCACUGGUGUACCGGUUGUUCUGCCAAGAGCACCGCCGGGUAGCUAAGUCGGGAUGCGAUAAGAGCUGAAAGCAUCUAAGCUCGAAGCCGACUCCAAGAUGAAUCUUCUUUUAAGAGCUCUAGUAGACUACUAGUUUGAUAGGCCGGAUGUGUAAUGGAUGAAAGUCCUUUAGCUGACCGGUACUAAUAGCUCGUUUGCUUAUCUUU